RNAcentral lists this small RNA (130 nucleotides) under Marmota monax (woodchuck). The record is from RNAcentral. Lineage: Eukaryota; Metazoa; Chordata; Mammalia; Rodentia; Sciuridae.
GCCAGGUGUGAUGGCACACGCCUGUAAUCCCAAAGGCUCUGGAGGCUGAUGCAGGAGGAUCAUGAGUUCAAAGCCAGUUGCUGAGGCGACUUAGCAAGGCCCUAAGCAACUCAGUGAGACCCUGUCUCUA